UACAUGAGCCCUCAAGACCUCAAGUGGAGUGUCGGGUUGCUAGGACCAACAGAAAUAUUGACACACUGGGAGAGGGCAUGUGCUCCAGACAGACUCUUAGAGACCGGACAUGUCUCUGGACUGCAUUCUCCCAACAGGAAGUGGGGCUCUGGAACAUUCUCAAGAGAAACAUCUUGUCCAAGGAAGUACUUUUAAGCCGGUACACCUCCAGCCAAAAAGAGCCGCUUUGAAGGGAACUUAGAGAUAUCUCACCGCCGGUCACCCCCACCAUCCAACCCCAACCUCCUCUGCAGGGGAGUCGUGAAUGGCUGGGUCUGAGCAACCUACGAGACUGGUACCCUUCACAUCUUCCCUGUCGCCACAUCUGGCUGGUGAGUACUUCUG
Long non-coding RNA from Peromyscus eremicus (cactus mouse), 384 nucleotides. RefSeq lists it as uncharacterized. The transcript is spliced from 3 exons. Lineage: Eukaryota; Metazoa; Chordata; Mammalia; Rodentia; Cricetidae. The record is from RefSeq and is a predicted model, not a curated record.